This 303-nucleotide unclassified non-coding RNA is filed under the name plant metagenome. RNAcentral's name for it is "partial contains 5.8S ribosomal RNA, internal transcribed spacer 2, and large subunit ribosomal RNA". The stretch from base 1 to 105 matches the Rfam family "5.8S ribosomal RNA", at positions 50 to 154 of the family's 154-position model. The record is from RNAcentral.
GAAAUGCGAUAAGUAAUGUGAAUUGCAGAAUUCAGUGAAUCAUCGAAUCUUUGAACGCACAUUGCGCCCGCCAGUAUUCUGGCGGGCAUGCCUGUUCGAGCGUCAUUUCAACCAUCAAGCCCCGGGCUUGUGUUGGGGACCUGCGGCUGCCGCAGGCCCUGAAAAGCAGUGGCGGGCUCGCUGUCACACCGAGCGUAGUAGCAUACAUCUCGCUCUGGGCGUGCUGCGGGUUCCGGCCGUUAAACCACCUUCGUAACCCAAGGUUGACCUCGGAUCAGGUAGGAAGGCCCGCUGAACUUAAGC